This is a long non-coding RNA of Gossypium raimondii (Peruvian cotton), 689 nucleotides long. RefSeq lists it as uncharacterized. The record is from RefSeq and is a predicted model, not a curated record. The transcript has 2 exons. NCBI's taxonomy places the organism in Eukaryota, Viridiplantae, Streptophyta, Magnoliopsida, Malvales, Malvaceae.
UUCAAACAAAACUAGAAGUCUUGAAAGGCAAUUUAUCUCUAGUUACAAGUAGUUUCCAUUUGUCCCUACAACUCGGAAAACUACGUCUUCUUGAAUGGGUCUAGACGGCAUUGUCUUAUUAAUUAUCUGAAACUAAUGGCUGUCAACCACCACGCGGUUUACUGUAUUUUUAUUUCUUGAGCUAUCAAAAGUAUCUUCAUCAACUCUUCUUAUCAAUUAGGAAUCAAACAAUUAGGUUGGUCUCAGUUCAUCUUUGUUAGAAAAAUGUAUCUUUUUCUUUGCAGAAUCUUGCGUUUCUUAACUUGCUUCCAUUGAUAUCCGAUAAAUUGUUGAAAGCUGGACUGCAAAGCAACAUGUGGCCAGCAGCAUGGUUGGCUGUCGAGCUUGGUGUGCAAGACUGAAGCUGAACCAGAUAAAGCAAUCAACUUUGGAUGUUUUGUUCUUUUGUAACUUAGUUUAGUUCAACUUUAACUAGUUUCCAAAGUUAGUUGGAUUAAGUUUGUGAUUGGAUUGAUGAUGUAAAAGCUGAUAUGUCAGCUUAUUUUGUAUUUGACUUAAGCUUGUAUUAGUUUAGUUUAAGUGGGAGCAGUUAUGUCAUUAGGUAACUGUCAAAUGAAUCAAAUUUGUAACUCUUUUAUAUAUUCAAAUUUUGAAUGAAAGAUUGGGGUGUUCAGUUACAAUUUGCUGAA